AGGAGAUAAAGGUAGAAGAAGGAGGGGCUCUUGUUAAAGCCCCUCGUUUGGGUUCUUCUUUGUAGGACUCCCUCUUCCUCCUCCCCUAUCUCCAUAGCCACUCAUGCCAAAUAUUACCAUUUAUCCUCUCUAUUAUACCUUGUAGUUUUUUCUUUGAAUCUACUCCCAUGAGAGGCUAGGAGACAAGGGAGGAGAGAAAGAGGAGGUUCUGCUAAAGUUCCAUCAUUU
Molecule: long non-coding RNA, 228 nt
Filed under: Carica papaya (papaya)
Lineage: Eukaryota; Viridiplantae; Streptophyta; Magnoliopsida; Brassicales; Caricaceae
Description: long non-coding RNA (CPAP_LNC013035)
Source: RNAcentral